This 190-nucleotide small nucleolar RNA is filed under the name Cavia porcellus (domestic guinea pig). RNAcentral's name for it is "Small nucleolar RNA SNORA73 family (ENSCPOG00000029560.2)". The record is from RNAcentral. Lineage: Eukaryota; Metazoa; Chordata; Mammalia; Rodentia; Caviidae.
CAGUGUGGGUGUCCCAUUGUGUCACUGCCCUGGGAUCUGUUCAUGUGGCACUGGGAGUAUAUGGUUUCAGGAAGUUCCUUCCCACAAGGUUAGAGACAAAAUGAUGUUUGUGUCUUUAGCUAUAUGAUCCUGCAACUUCUCAGACCCCUGGCAAUGCUGAGCUAGAGGAUGGACUAGGCAGGAAACACUC